Molecule: ribosomal RNA, 405 nt
Filed under: uncultured Bdellovibrio sp.
Lineage: Bacteria; Pseudomonadati; Bdellovibrionota; Bdellovibrionia; Bdellovibrionales; Pseudobdellovibrionaceae
Description: bacterial SSU rRNA
Rfam family: Bacterial small subunit ribosomal RNA
Source: RNAcentral
UAGGGAAUAUUGCACAAUGGAGGAAACUCUGAUGCAGCGACGCCGCGUGAGUGAUGAAGGACUUCGGUUCGUAAAGCUCUGUCGUAUGGGAAUAAUAAAGUGAAUGUACCAUGCAAGAAAGGAUCGGCUAACUUCGUGCCAGCAGCCGCGGUAAGACGAGGGAUCCUAGCGUUGUUCGGAAUCAUUGGGCGUAAAGCGGAUGUAGGUGGCUUUGUAAGUCAGGUGUGAAAGCCCCGGGCUCAACCCGGGAAGUGCAUUUGAUACUGCGAAGCUUGAGUGCUGGAGAGGCUACUAGAAUACCUGGUGUAGUGGUGAAAUACGUAGAUAUCAGGUGGAAUACCGGAGGCGAAGGCGGGUAGCCAGCCAGACACUGACACUCAGAUCCGAAAGUGUGGGGAUCAAACA